RNAcentral lists this ribosomal RNA (497 nucleotides) under uncultured bacterium. RNAcentral describes it as "partial 16S ribosomal RNA". It matches the Rfam family "Bacterial small subunit ribosomal RNA", at positions 28 to 507 of the family's 1533-position model. The record is from RNAcentral.
GAUGAACGCUGGCGGCGUGCCUAAUACAUGCAAGUCGAGCGAACAGACGAGGAGCUUGCUCCUCUGACGUUAGCGGCGGACGGGUGAGUAACACGUGGAUAACCUACCUAUAAUACUGGGAUAACUUCGGGAAACCGGAGCUAAUACCGGAUAAUAUAUUGAACCGCAUGGUUCAAUAGUGAAAGACGGUUUUGCUGUCACUUAUAGAUGGAUCCGCUCCGCAUUAGCUAGUUGGUAAGGUAACGGCUUACCAAGGCGACGAUGCGUAGCCGACCUGAGAGGGUGAUCGGCCACACUGGAACUGAGACACGGUCCAGACUCCUACGGGAGGCAGCAGUAGGGAAUCUUCCGCAAUGGGCGAAAGCCUGACGGAGCAACGCCGCGUGAGUGAUGAAGGUCUUCGGAUCGUAAAACUCUGUUAUUAGGGAAGAACAAAUGUGUAAGUAACUAUGCACGUCUUGACGGUACCUAAUCAGAAAGCCACGGCUAACUACGUG